UGGGAUAUGGGAUAUGGGAGAUGAGAUAUGGGAUAUGGGAUAUGGGAUAUGGGAUAUGGGAUAUGGGAUAUGGGAUAUGGGAGAUGAGAUAUGGGAUAUGGGAUAUGGGAUAUGGGAUAUGGGAUAUGGGAUGGGAUAUGGGAUAUGGGAUAUGGGAUAUGGGAUAUGGGAUAUGGGAUAUGGGAUAUGGGAUAUGGGAUGGGAGCAGGGAGCUGCAUCCAGCGCUGUCUCCCGCAGAUGUCCCAGUUCAUCGUGCAGUGCCUGAAUCCGUACCGGAAACCCGACUGCAAGGUGGGCCGGAUCACCACCACCGAGGACUUCAAACACCUGGCACGCAAGCUGACCCACGGAGUGAUGAACAAGGAGCUCAAGUACUGCAAGAACCCCGAGGACCUGGAGUGCAACGAGAACGUCAAACACAAAACCAAGGAAUACAUCAAGAAGUACAUGCAGAAAUUCGGGAUCCUCUACAAGCCCAAAGAGGACACGGAGCUGGAAUAGCCCCUGGAAAAAAACAACAACCCCCGGCCCUCGGGAGCCUCGAUUCCCAGCAGGAUUCGCCUUCCCAGCCACCAACCUGUGAAUUUAUUAUUAUUAUUAAUUAUUAUUAUUAUUAUUAUUAUUAUUAUUCUGAUGAUGCCGACGAUGGAUUUUGGGUUUUUUUAAAGAAAACAAAACUUGGUUCCCGUCGCCGUGGAUGAGCCGGGCUUUUCCGAGCCCGCUUUUCCCGAUCCAGGCUUUCCCAAGCCCGGCUCUCCCGGCGCUGCUCCCAAACUCUGUAUUAUAUUUUAACCUAUAUGUGAAUAUAUUGAUAAUAAUUUGCUUUUUUUUUUUUUCUCCCCCCGUUGCUUUCAGCCCCAAAAAUGCCAAUCCCACGGGAAUGUUGAUUUUGGGGCUUAUUCCCGGAUUUUAUUUUUAUUUUAUUUUUAAUUUUAAUUUUUUUUUUUUUUUGGUUGUUUCCUCGGUUUUAACUUUCGGUUCUGCGAGGUUUUUUUCCCUGUAAAUACUGCGGAUUUCUGGCCAUGUUGAUAAGAUUGAUUUUACUGCUUCGAGCAUUUUACUUUAUCCAAUUUUUACGGAACUUUUUAUGUAAAAAAAAAAAAAAAAAAAAAAAAAAAAUGAGAAAAAAAAGAGAAAAAAAUAAAAAAAUCAAAAUUAAAAAAAAAAACA
This 1170-nucleotide long non-coding RNA is filed under the name Cyanistes caeruleus (blue tit). Its description in RNAcentral is "lncRNA (ENSCCEG00000003892.1)". The record is from RNAcentral. Lineage: Eukaryota; Metazoa; Chordata; Aves; Passeriformes; Paridae.